Molecule: small RNA, 80 nt
Filed under: Polaribacter vadi
Lineage: Bacteria; Pseudomonadati; Bacteroidota; Flavobacteriia; Flavobacteriales; Flavobacteriaceae
Description: Flavo-1 RNA
Rfam family: Flavo-1 RNA
Source: Rfam by way of RNAcentral
GAGUAAACGCGUUAAGGAUUGAAACGACAUCCUUUUUGCUUUUUUCAAGCUAAAAGAUAUAGUGGAAAGCCUGUUAAAAC